This 346-nucleotide ribosomal RNA is filed under the name uncultured bacterium. RNAcentral describes it as "bacterial SSU rRNA". It matches the Rfam family "Bacterial small subunit ribosomal RNA", at positions 917 to 1264 of the family's 1533-position model. The record is from RNAcentral.
GGGCCCGCACAAGCGGUGGAGUAUGUGGUUUAAUUCGAUGCAACGCGAAGAACCUUACCUGGGCUAAAUCCACAGUGAUGUCUUCUGGAAACAGGAGGUCCCUUAGGGGCACUAUGGAAGGUGCUGCAUGGCUGUCGUCAGCUCGUGCCGUGAGGUGUUGGGUUAAGUCCCGCAACGAGCGCAACCCCCUGUGGUUAGUUACCAGCACGUAAAGGUGGGGACUCUAGCCAGACUGCCUACGCAAGUAGUGAGGAAGGUGGGGACGACGUCAAGUCAUCAUGGCCCUUACGUCCAGGGCUGCACACGUGCUACAAUGGUCGGUACAAUGGUCGCACCCAGCGAUGGG